AUGCCAAGCUAUAAUUGUUGGACCAAGCAUGGAGAAAGAGGGGUUAUAAUGGAAGAAGAUGAAGAAGGGGAUGAUUUCAUCGAUGAAAGCUAUCUUGCUCAUUUCGGUGAUACUUUCAUGGAGGAUGCUGAAGGUGAAGGGGAAGGUGAAGGGGAAGGUGAAGGGGAAGGUGAAGGGGAAGGUGAAGAAGAGGCACGUGAUGAGACCGUUGAUGAUCUUGGUCGGACCAUUGCUGAUGCACGGAGACGCUGCGAAACUGAAAAGGAGAGGGAGAAUUUGGAUCGCAUGUUAGAGGAUCACAGAAAGUCGUUGUACCCUGGAUGCGAUGAUGGUCUGAAAAAGUUGGGCUGCACACUGGAUUUGCUGAAAUGGAAGGCACAGGCAGGUGUAGCUGACUCGGCAUUUGAAAACUUGCUGAAAAUGUUGAAGAAUAUGUUUCCAAAGAAUAACGAGUUGCCCGCCAGUACGUACGAAGCAAAGAAGGUUGUCUGCCCUCUAGGUUUAGAGGUUCUGAAGAUACAUGCAUGCAUCAACGACUGCAUCCUCUACCGCGGUGAAUACGAGAAUUUGAAUGAAUGCCCGGUAUGCACUGCAUUGCAUUAUAAGAUCAGAGGCAAUGACCCUGGUGACGAUGUUGAGGGCGGGAAACCCAGGAAGAGGGUUCCCGCCAAGGUGAUGUGGUAUGCUCCUAUAAUACCACGGUUGAAACGUCUGUUCAGGAACAAAGAGCAUGCCAAGUUGUUGCGAUGGCACAAAGAGGACCGUAAGUCGGACGGGGAGUUGAGACACACCGCAGAUGGAACGCAAUGGAGAAAGAUCGACAGAGAGUUCAAAGAUUUUGCAGUUAACGCAAGGAACAUAAGAUUUGGUCUAAGUACAGAUGGCAUGAAUCCUUUUGGCGAGCAGAGCUCCAGCCAUAGCACCUGGCCCGUGACUCUAUGCAUCUACAACCUUCCUCCUUGGUUGUGCAUGAAACGGAAGUUCAUUAUGAUGCCAGUGCUCAUCCAAGGUCCGAAGCAACCCGGCAACGACAUCGAUGUGUACCUAAGGCCAUUAGUUGAUGAACUUUUACAGCUGUGGGGCAGACCUGGUGUCCGUGUGUGGGAUGAGCACAAAAAAGAGGAAUUUAACCUACGAGCGUUGCUUUUCGUAACCAUCAACGAUUGGCCUGCUCUUAGUAACCUUUCGGGACUGUCAAAUAAGGGAUACAAUGCAUGCACGCACUGCUUACAUGAGACUGAAAGUGUACAUUUGCCAAAUUGUAAGAAGAACGUGUACCUUGGGCAUCGUCGAUUUCUUCCGAAAAUUUAUCCAGUAAGAAAGAAAGGCAAGCAUUACAACGGCAAGGCAGAUCACCGGCCGAAGCCUGCAGAACGCACUGGUGCUGAGGUAUUUGAUAUGGUCAAGGAUUUGAAAGUCAUCUUUGGAAAGGGUCCUGGCGGACAAUCAGUUCCGAAGGGAGCUGACGGGCACGCAGCCAUGUGGAAGAAGAAAUCUAUAUUCUGGGAGCUAGAAUAUUGGAAAGUCCUAGAAGUCCGCUCUGCAAUCGACGUGAUGCAUGUUACGAAGAAUAUUUGCGUGAACCUCCUAAGCUUCUUGGGCGUGUAUGGGAAGACAAAUGAUACAAAGGAAGCACGGCAGGACCAGCAACGUUUGAAAGACCAUAAUGACCGGCAUCCGGAAUGGUUUCAAGGUCGUGCCAGCUACGCUCUGACCAAAGAAGAGAAGGUCAUCUUUUUUGAAUGCCUGAGCAGUAUGAAGGUCCCUUCUGGAUUCUCGUCCAAUAUAAAGGGAAUAAUAAACAUGGCGGAGAAAAAGUUCCAAAACCUGAAGUCUCACGACUGCCACGUGAUUAUGACGCAAUUGCUUCCGAUUGCUUUGAGGGGGCUCCUGCCGGAAAAUGUUCGAGUAGCCAUUGUGAAGCUAUGUGCAUUCCUCAAUGCAAUCUCUCAGAAGGUAAUCAAUCCAGAAGAUCUACCACGGUUACAGAACGAUGUGAUCCAAUGUCUUGUCAGUUUCGAGUUAGUGUUCCCGCCAUCCUUCUUCAAUAUUAUGACGCACCUCUUGGUUCACCUAGUCGAAGAGAUUUCCAUUCUCGAUCCUGUAUUUCUACACAAUAUGUUCCCCUUCGAGAGGUUCAUGGGAGUAUUAAAGAAAUAUGUUCGUAACCGUGCUAGGCCAGAAGGAAGCAUCGCCAAGGGCUAUGGAAAUGAGGAGGUAAUUGAGUUUUGUGUUGACUUUGUUCCUGACCUUAAGCCGAUUGGUCUUCCUCGAUCGCGGCACGAGGGGAGACUAAGUGGAAAAGGCACGAUCGGAAGGAAAUCAAUGACAUGUAUGGACGGCCAUUCUCUGACUGAAGCACACCACACUGUACUGACCAAUUCCAGCUUGGUGGCUCCGUACUUUGAGAAACACAAGAAUAUUUUACGCUCGGACAACCCGGGGAAGCCUGAAUCCUGGAUUAGAAAGGCCCACAUGGAGACUUUCGGCAGUUGGUUGAGAAAACAUUUAAUGAAUGACAAUGAUGUUGUAGAUCAGCUGUACAUGUUGGCCAAGACACCAUCUUCGACUAUAACGACUUUCCAAGGGUACGAGAUAAAUGGGAAUACAUUUUACACGAUCACCCAAGAUAAAAAGAGCACCAACCAAAACAGUGGUGUCCGCUUUGAUGCAGCAACCGAGAAUGGGCAAAAGGUCACAUAUUAUGGUUACAUAGAGGAGAUAUGGGAACUUGACUAUGGACCCUCCUUUAAGGUCCCUUUGUUCCGGUGCAAAUGGUUCAAGCUAACAGGAGGUGGGGUAAAGGUGGACCAGCAAUACGGAAUGACAAUGGUGGAUUUCAACAAUCUUGGUUACCUUGACAAACCAUUCGUCCUAGCGAAAGAUGUCGCUCAGGUUUUCUAUGUGAAGGACAUGAGUAGCAAACCGAGGAAACGAAAAGAUAAGAAAACGAUCAAUACAUCAUGCGAUGAUCCAAAGCGCCACAUUGUUCUUUCAGGGAAAAGAAACAUCGUGGGAGUGGAGGACAAGACAGACAUAUCAGAAGAUUAUAAUAUGUUUGCUGAAAUUCCGCCCUUCAAAGUGAACACCGACCCAAGCAUUAAGUUAAAUGAUGAGGAUGCUCCAUGA
Molecule: ribosomal RNA, 3129 nt
Filed under: Triticum aestivum (bread wheat)
Lineage: Eukaryota; Viridiplantae; Streptophyta; Magnoliopsida; Poales; Poaceae
Description: partial small subunit ribosomal RNA
Source: RNAcentral